CCCUUAGUCAUUAGAUUCACUAUGCAGAUUGCAGCGGCGGAUUUUUCUUUCUCUUCUCUUCAGUCUCUCUCUCCUCUUUUCUCUUCAGAGUUCAGACAAAAGACAACUCCCUUUCUCUCUCAAAUCCUCCAUUCCUCUACAACUCAGUGAACUCACGUGGAUCUAUCUUCUUGUUUAGCCGGGGAUACAGGACUGUACAACGAUGUCGCUAGUGGUCAAGAUGAUGGUGCAUGGGGUUGUAACCUUUUUGAGAGUGUCUCUUUCAUCACUCUGAAAAACAAGUUUUGUUGCUGAGAGUGCAGCUUCAGGCCUCAUUCUGUUCAAGCACUUUUCGAAUUUCUAUAGAGAGAGAGGAUCGCUUGCAUCAACAACCAGAGAAGCAAAGUGUGAAGCCUAAUUGUUGAAAUUGAACUCUACAUUUGACAAGAUUUGCUCAAUAUCUGAUUUUUCGAACCCUCCUUCAUAGUCUUCCGAAUUUAUGUACCUUUAUGUAAAAUCAAUAAAAUUAGUUAGGAUCUUGUUUGGAUGUA
Long non-coding RNA from Cornus florida, 530 nucleotides. RefSeq lists it as uncharacterized. Lineage: Eukaryota; Viridiplantae; Streptophyta; Magnoliopsida; Cornales; Cornaceae. The record is from RefSeq and is a predicted model, not a curated record. The transcript has 2 exons.